ACGGAAGGCAGCAGUGGGGAAUAUUGCACAAUGGGGGAAGCCCUGAUGCAGCGACGCCGCGUGAGUGAAGAAGUAUUUCGGUAUGUAAAGCUCUAUCAGCAGGGAAGAUAAUGACGGUACCUGACUAAGAAGCCCCGGCUAACUACGUGCCAGCAGCCGCGGUAAUACGUAGGGGGCAAGCGUUAUCCGGAUUUACUGGGUGUAAAGGGAGCGUAGGUGGUUUGGCAAGUCAGAAGUGAAAGCCAGGGGCUCAACCCCUGGAUUGCUUUUGAAACUGUCAGACUAGAGUGCUGGAGAGGUAAGUGGAAUUCCUAGUGUAGCGGUGAAAUGCGUAGAUAUUAGGAGGAACACCAGUGGCGAAGGCGGCUUGCUGGACAGUAACUGACACUGAGGCUCGAAAGCGUGGGGAGCAAACAGGAUUAGAUACCCUGGUA
This 434-nucleotide ribosomal RNA is filed under the name uncultured Lachnospiraceae bacterium. RNAcentral's name for it is "bacterial SSU rRNA". It matches the Rfam family "Bacterial small subunit ribosomal RNA", at positions 341 to 792 of the family's 1533-position model. Lineage: Bacteria; Bacillati; Bacillota; Clostridia; Lachnospirales; Lachnospiraceae. The record is from RNAcentral.